RNAcentral lists this ribosomal RNA (227 nucleotides) under uncultured bacterium. RNAcentral's name for it is "partial 16S ribosomal RNA". It matches the Rfam family "Bacterial small subunit ribosomal RNA", at positions 383 to 607 of the family's 1533-position model. The record is from RNAcentral.
CUGAACCAGCCAAGUAGCGUGAAGGAUGACUGCCCUAUGGGUUGUAAACUUCUUUUAUACGGGAAUAAAGUGAGGCACGUGUGCCUUUUUGCAUGUACUUUAUGAAUAAGGAUCGGCUAACUCCGUGCCAGCAGCCGCGGUAAUACGGAGGAUCCGAGCGUUAUCCGGAUUUAUUGGGUUUAAAGGGAGCGUAGAUGGAUGUUUAAGUCAGUUGUGAAAGUUUGCGG